AGGGACUUUCAAGAUACAGCAAUGGGACAUAGGCAGACAUGAUUUUCUUGAAUCUGCCCCUGGCCUGGGGAUGUUUGUGACUGUUACAACGUACAAUGAAGAGCGGAUCCACUUAGAUAUUCGAGUUGGAGAACAUGACCUUGAUGCAGCUAUUGCUCAGGCAAAGGACAAAGUUAAUGAAGUUAUCUUCAAGCUUGAACAUCUAAUUGAACAAACUGAGCAAAUAGUCAAAGAACAAAACUACCAAAGGGACCGUGAAGAAAAUUUUCGAAUGACCAGUGAAGAUACAAAUAGCAACGUUCUAUGGUGGGCUUUUGCCCAAACAUUAACCUUUAUUUCAGUUGGAAUUUUCCAAAUGAAGUACCUUAAAGACUUCUUUAUAGCUAAGAAGCUUGUUUAAAAAAUUAUCAAUAAAGGCAAAUAAUCUGCAUGAUAUAAAUCAAAAUACCU
Molecule: long non-coding RNA, 450 nt
Organism: Nycticebus coucang (slow loris)
Lineage: Eukaryota; Metazoa; Chordata; Mammalia; Primates; Lorisidae
Exons: 3
Source: RefSeq, a predicted model, not a curated record